Molecule: ribosomal RNA, 464 nt
Filed under: uncultured bacterium
Lineage: Bacteria
Description: bacterial SSU rRNA
Rfam family: Bacterial small subunit ribosomal RNA
Source: RNAcentral
GACGAACGCUGGCGGCGUGCUUAACACAUGCAAGUCGAACGAUGAUGCCAGCUUGCUGGUGGAUUAGUGGCGAACGGGUGAGUAACACGUGGGUGAUUUGCCCCGAACUUUGGGAUAAGCCUGGGAAACUGGGUUUAAUACCGGAUAGUACCUUCCCUUGCAUGGGGGUUGGUGGAAAGCUCCGGCGGUUUGGGAUGGGCCCGCGGCCUAUCAGCUUGUUGGUGGGGUAAUGGCCUACCAAGGCGACGACGGGUAGCCGGCCUGAGAGGGCGACCGGCCCCACUGGGACUGAGACACGGCCCAGACUCCUACGGGAGGCAGCAGUGGGGAAUAUUGCACAAUGGGCGCAAGCCUGAUGCAGCGACGCCGCGUGAGGGAUGACGGCCUUCGGGUUGUAAACCUCUUUCACCAGGGACGAAGCGUGAGUGACGGUACCUGGAGAAGAAGCACCGGCCAACUACGUG